GGGAAGGUGGCUCAGUGGUAGAGUGCUUGCCUUGCAUGCAUGAGGCCCUGGGUUCGAUUCUGCAGUACUA
Molecule: non-coding RNA, 70 nt
Organism: Dipodomys ordii (Ord's kangaroo rat)
Lineage: Eukaryota; Metazoa; Chordata; Mammalia; Rodentia; Heteromyidae
Source: Rfam